Molecule: non-coding RNA, 509 nt
Organism: Pelobates cultripes (western spadefoot toad)
Lineage: Eukaryota; Metazoa; Chordata; Amphibia; Anura; Pelobatidae
Source: the annotation of a GenBank genome assembly
GGUAGGGUAAGUGGUAGGGUUAGGGCUAGGGUAAGGGGUAGGAUAAGGGUUAAGGUGAGGGGUAGGAGAAGGGUUAGGUGUAGGGUUAGGGUAAGGGUUAGGGUUAUGGAAUUGUCUCGAUUUACCGAAGUCCCGAAUUGCAGAAUUCGCAAAUUUUGGAAGUGCUGAAUUGAACCGAACCGCUGAAGUGCCGAAUUGCCGAAGUUCCGAAUUUCGGAAGUGCCAAACCGAAUUGCCGAAAUCCCAAAUUAGCUGAAGUCCCGAAUUUUGGAAGUGCCGAAUUGAACCAUAAGUUUUUGCCUAUGCACAUCCUUAUUUAUAAAAACUGAAAUAGCCUGCCUUCAUAAAAAUGCAAAUACUGAAAGACACAAAUAUUCAAACAUCUGGGAUGUUAGAUACUAGCAUUUCAGAUGGCCUGUUAAUGAUGGCCUUAUUAAUUUGCUUCAUUUGUGGCCCUGUCUAAAAUAUUGUAGUGUAAGAGAUGUCAUAUAAUAUCUUGUUAAAAAUAG